UAGGGAAUCUUCCGCAAUGGACGAAAGUCUGACGGAGCAACGCCGCGUGAGCGAUGAAGGCCUUCGGGUCGUAAAGCUCUGUUGUCAGGGAAGAACAAGUAUCGGAGUAACUGCCGGUACCUUGACGGUACCUGACCAGAAAGCCACGGCUAACUACGUGCCAGCAGCCGCGGUAAUACGUAGGUGGCAAGCGUUGUCCGGAAUUAUUGGGCGUAAAGCGCGCGCAGGCGGUUCCUUAAGUCUGAUGUGAAAGCCCCCGGCUCAACCGGGGAGGGUCAUUGGAAACUGGGGAACUUGAGUGCAGAAGAGGAGAGCGGAAUUCCACGUGUAGCGGUGAAAUGCGUAGAGAUGUGGAGGAACACCAGUGGCGAAGGCGGCUCUCUGGUCUGUAACUGACGCUGAGGCGCGAAAGCGUGGGGAGCGAACA
RNAcentral lists this ribosomal RNA (427 nucleotides) under uncultured Bacillus sp. RNAcentral's name for it is "bacterial SSU rRNA". It matches the Rfam family "Bacterial small subunit ribosomal RNA", at positions 355 to 774 of the family's 1533-position model. Lineage: Bacteria; Bacillati; Bacillota; Bacilli; Caryophanales; Bacillaceae. The record is from RNAcentral.